UCCCUGGUGGUCCAGUGGUUAACACUCUGUGCUUCCAAUGCAGGGAUCACAGGUUCAAUCCCUGGUCGGGGAA
Molecule: transfer RNA, 73 nt
Filed under: Bos taurus (domestic cattle)
Lineage: Eukaryota; Metazoa; Chordata; Mammalia; Artiodactyla; Bovidae
Also listed under: 3 other names
Rfam family: tRNA
About the family: Transfer RNA (tRNA) molecules are approximately 80 nucleotides in length.
Source: Rfam by way of RNAcentral